AUUGAACGCUGGCGGCAGGCCUAACACAUGCAAGUCGAGCGGAUGAAGGGAGCUUGCUCCUGGAUUCAGCGGCGGACGGGUGAGUAAUGCCUAGGAAUCUGCCUGGUAGUGAGGGAUAACGUCCGGAAACGGGCGCUAAUACCGCAUACGUCCUGAGGGAGAAAGUGGGGGAUCUUCGGACCUCACGCUAUCAGAUGAGCCUAGGUCGGAUUAGCUAGUUGGUGGGGUAAAGGCCUACCAAGGCGACGAUCCGUAACUGGUCUGAGAGGAUGAUCAGUCACACUAGAACUGAGACACGGUCCAGACUCCUACGGGAGGCAGCAGUGGGGAAUAUUGGACAAUGGGCGAAAGCCUGAUCCAGCCAUGCCGCGUGUGUGAAGAAGGUCUUCGGAUUGUAAAGCACUUUAAGUUGGGAGGAAGGGCAGUAAGUUAAUACCUUGCUGUUUUGACGUUACCAACAGAAUAAGCACCGGCUAACUUCGUG
RNAcentral lists this ribosomal RNA (484 nucleotides) under uncultured bacterium. RNAcentral's name for it is "partial 16S ribosomal RNA". It matches the Rfam family "Bacterial small subunit ribosomal RNA", at positions 30 to 507 of the family's 1533-position model. The record is from RNAcentral.